UCAUAUGCUUGUCUCAAAGAUUAAGCCAUGCAUGUCUAAGUACACGCCCUAGCAAGGCGAAACCGCGAAUGGCUCAUUAAAUCAGUUAUGGUUCCUUAGAUCGUACACGAUUACUUGGAUAACUGUGGUAAUUCUAGAGCUAAUACAUGCAUCUGGGCCCUCGACCCUCGUGGGAGAGGGUGCUUUUAUUAGACCAAGACCAGACGGGCUUGCCCGAACGUCGUGGUGACUCUGGAUAACUUUGGCGGAUCGCACGGUCUCCGCACCGGCGACGCAUCUUUCAAGUGUCUGCCUUAUCAACUGUCGAUGGUAGGUUAUGCGCCUACCAUGGUUGUAACGGGUAACGGGGAAUCAGGGUUCGAUUCCGGAGAGGGAGCCUGAGAAACGGCUACCACAUCCAAGGAAGGCAGCAGGCGCGCAAAUUACCCACUCCCGGCACGGGGAGGUAGUGACGAAAAAUAACAAUACGGGACUCUAAAGAGGCUCCGUAAUUGGAAUGAGUACACUCUAAACCCUUUAACGAGGAUCUAUUGGAGGGCAAGUCUGGUGCCAGCAGCUGCGGUAACUCCAGCUCCAAUAGCGUAUAUUAAAGUUGUUGCGGUUAAAAAGCUCGUAGUUGGAUCUCAGUCGUGCUCCCGUCGAAGCGUUGCAAGACGUGUUUCGUCGGGGCCGACAAGUCGUCGGUCGUCUCGGUUGGCCUUAAAAAGCUGAUCGGGUUGCCCGACACCUUUACUUUGAAAAAAUUAGAGUGCUCAAAGCAGGCCGGUGCCUGGAUAUUGGUGCAUGGAAUAAUGGAAUAGGACCUCGGUUCUAUUUUGUUGGUUUUUGGAACACGAGGUAAUGAUUAAGAGGGACAGACGGGGGCAUUCGUAUUGCGGCGCUAGAGGUGAAAUUCUUGGACCGCUGCAAGACGA
This 914-nucleotide ribosomal RNA is filed under the name Pachyolpium sp. Its description in RNAcentral is "SSU rRNA". It matches the Rfam family "Eukaryotic small subunit ribosomal RNA", at positions 24 to 938 of the family's 1831-position model. The record is from RNAcentral. Lineage: Eukaryota; Metazoa; Arthropoda; Arachnida; Pseudoscorpiones; Olpiidae.